RNAcentral lists this ribosomal RNA (173 nucleotides) under uncultured bacterium. RNAcentral describes it as "partial 16S ribosomal RNA". It matches the Rfam family "Bacterial small subunit ribosomal RNA", at positions 335 to 524 of the family's 1533-position model. The record is from RNAcentral.
ACUCCUACGGGAGGCAGCAGUCGAGAAUAUUCGACAAUGGGCGAAAGCCUGAUCGAGCGACGCCGCGUGCGGGAAGACGGCCUUCGGGUUGUAAACCGCUUUUGCGUGGGAAGAAUUUUGACGGUACCACGAGAAUAAGGGGUUGCUAACUCUGUGCCAGCAGCCGCGGUAAU